Molecule: non-coding RNA, 958 nt
Filed under: Lophiomus setigerus (blackmouth angler)
Lineage: Eukaryota; Metazoa; Chordata; Actinopteri; Lophiiformes; Lophiidae
Description: 12S rRNA
Rfam family: Bacterial small subunit ribosomal RNA
Source: RNAcentral
UUAAAAGUUUGGUCCUGACUUUACUGUCAACUUUAGCUAGGUUUAUACAUGCAAGUCUCCGCACCCCUGUGAAUCAUGCCUAUGCAUCUCCUCCUAGAGAGCAAAGAGCAGGCAUCAGGCACAACUUGUAAGCCCAUGACGCCUCGUCAAGCCACUCCCCCACGGGUACUCAGCAGUAAUAAAUAUUAAGCCAUGAGCGAAAGCUCGACUUAGCCACAAGCCAAGAGGGCCGGUAAACCUCGUGCCAGCCACCGCGGUUAUACGAGGGGCCCGAGCUGACAGUCCCCGGCGUAAAGCGUGGUUAAGGUACACCCCUAAUACAAAUUAAAGUCGAAUGCCCUCAAAGCUGUUAUACGCUCUCGAAGGCAAGAAGCCCACUCACGUAAGUAACUUUAUUAAACUGAACCCACGAAAGCUGCGGCACAAACUGGGAUUAGAAACCCCACUAUGCCCAGCCCUAAACAUUGGUAGCCCUGUACACCCGCUGCCCGCCCGGAUACUACGAGCAUAAGCUUAAAAUCCAAAGGACUUGGCGGUGCUUUAGACCCACCUAGAGGAGCCUGUUCUAAAACCGAUACCCCCCGUUAAACCUCACCCCCCCUUGCACUAUCCGCCUAUAUACCGCCGCCGUCAGCUUACCCUGUGAAGGUUUAGUAGUAAGCAAAAUUGUUUUAACCCAAAACGCCAGGUCGAGGUGUAGCUAAUGGGAGGGGAUGAAAUGGGCUACAUUCCCUAAAUAAGAGAAAACGAACGACUGUCCUGAAACCGCACGUCUGAAGGAGGAUUUAGCAGUAAGCAGAAAAUAGAGUGUUCUGCUGAAACAUCGGCUCUAAAGCGCGCACACACCGCCCGUCACUCUCCCCGAGCUAUAAUACUGAAAAAUUAAUAAUAAGACACAACUGCAAAGGGGAGGCAAGUCGUAACAUGGUAAGUGUACCGGAAAGUGCACUUGGAGAAA